RNAcentral lists this ribosomal RNA (468 nucleotides) under uncultured bacterium. RNAcentral's name for it is "partial 16S ribosomal RNA". It matches the Rfam family "Bacterial small subunit ribosomal RNA", at positions 28 to 507 of the family's 1533-position model. The record is from RNAcentral.
GACGAACGCUGGCGGCGUGCUUAACACAUGCAAGUCGAACGGAAAGGCCCUGCUUUUGUGGGGUGCUCGAGUGGCGAACGGGUGAGUAACACGUGAGUAACCUGCCCUUGACUUUGGGAUAACUUCAGGAAACUGGGGCUAAUACCGGAUAGGAGCUCCUGCUGCAUGGUGGGGGUUGGAAAGUUUCGGCGGUUGGGGAUGGACUCGCGGCUUAUCAGCCUGUUGGUGGGGUAGUGGCUUACCAAGGCUUUGACGGGUAGCCGGCCUGAGAGGGUGACCGGCCACAUUGGGACUGAGAUACGGCCCAGACUCCUACGGGAGGCAGCAGUGGGGAAUAUUGCACAAUGGGCGGAAGCCUGAUGCAGCAACGCCGCGUGCGGGAUGACGGCCUGCGGGUUGUAAACCGCUUUCGCCUGUGACGAAGCGGGAGUGACGGUAAUGGGUAAAGAAGCACCGGCUAACUACGUG